CCCUUAGAUGUUCUGGGCUGCACGCGCGCUACACUGAAGCUAUCAACACGUUUUCCCUCCCUGAGAAGGGCGGGUAACCUUUUGAAUCAGCUUCGUGGUAGGGAUCGGGGCUUGCAAUUGUUCCCCGUGAACCAGGAAUUCCUAGUAGACGCGAGUCAUAAGCUCGCAUCGAUUAAGUCCCUGCCCUUUGUACACACCGCCCGUCGCUACUACCGAUUGAACGUUUUAGUGAGGCAUUUGGACCGACGCAUCUCAGUUUAACCGCUGGUUUGUGUUGGAAAGACUUCCAAACUUGAUCGUUUAGAGGAAGUAAAAGUCGUAACA
This 324-nucleotide ribosomal RNA is filed under the name uncultured eukaryote. RNAcentral's name for it is "partial 18S ribosomal RNA". It matches the Rfam family "Eukaryotic small subunit ribosomal RNA", at positions 1470 to 1796 of the family's 1831-position model. The record is from RNAcentral.